CUCACUAUGAACUACACACACCACUCUGUGUCCUCUUCUAGUGAGUUGAAUCUUUUGAAGGAUUAAUUUCAAUGUUUCAAUUUAUAUCAUAUGCUCUUUGGGUUGCUGGUUGCUACAUUUGACAUUUUAAUUGUGUUUUGGUUGAAUCAAUAUUGUUGAUAAGCUCAUUGAACUUUUUAGGAGUUUUUAAGUGUCAUUGAGCUUUUGAAUGUCAUUGAUUGAUUCUGCAUAGAAAUUUUGUUAUAUGUAGUCUGGGUUGCUGCAUUCUAUUCUAGUUGAUUGAAUUGAUUUUGUUGCUCAAACAGUGUAAAUGGUUAAAUUGGGGUGUUUUCUUUUUUUUUUUUUGAGAGGUGGGAUUUAAAAUUUGUGGACUUGUGCUUGCCUAUGAUUUCAUCUGAAACCAAUGGGAGUUGGGUCUAACAGAAGGGCUAGUCCCUCACAGCAUGGUGAACCAAGGUCCAAAUCGCUACUACGAGAGAUGUUGCAUACUGAAUUACACAAGUUAUGCCUAAGGCCUAAAAUAAGCCUUGAAGCACACUGGGAAAUGCACAUCAAUGGAAUCUAUAGUUCUUCAACUCCAUGAAAUCUCAGCUAUCAAAUUUGGCAAUUUCAAGCUCAAGUCUGGCAUCUCCUCUCCAAUCUACAUAGAUCUUCGCCUUGCUAUAUCUUAUCCUUCUGUCCUCCGGAAUAUUUCUCAAACCCUUAUUUCUUCUGUCUCUUCCACUUCAUUUGACCUUGCCUGUGGUGUCCCCUACACUGCUCUGCCCAUUGCCACUUGUGUCUCUGUUACUCAGAACAUCCCCAUGGUCAUGCGCGGCAAGGAUGCAUGAUGUUAUGGUGGAGCAUCAGUGAAUAUAUUCAUGAAGGUAAUUGAAUGCUAGGUUUGACAGUAGGACAACAUGCAUGUUUCAUUUUAUAGCAGUGAAAUUAUAUGAAUGUGGGAGAGUAUACCCUAGCAUACCAAGUGGUUUGGCAAUUGAAAUGGCUUAUUUUGUUUUUGGUUUUAAAUGUACCCUUUUACAUCAAUAUGGAUAAUAGAAUAUGUAUAAACUUUCUUUGGU
Molecule: long non-coding RNA, 1061 nt
Organism: Glycine soja
Lineage: Eukaryota; Viridiplantae; Streptophyta; Magnoliopsida; Fabales; Fabaceae
Exons: 2
Source: RefSeq, a predicted model, not a curated record